This 441-nucleotide ribosomal RNA is filed under the name uncultured bacterium. Its description in RNAcentral is "partial 16S ribosomal RNA". It matches the Rfam family "Bacterial small subunit ribosomal RNA", at positions 338 to 795 of the family's 1533-position model. The record is from RNAcentral.
CCUACGGGAGGCAGCAGUAGGGAAUUUUGCGCAAUGGGGGAAACCCUGACGCAGCAACGCCGCGUGAUCGAUGAAGCCCUUCGGGGUGUAAAGAUCUGUCAGUGGGGACGAAACCUGACGGUACCCACAGAGGAAGCACCGGCUAACUCCGUGCCAGCAGCCGCGGUACUACGGGGGGUGCAAGCGUUGUCCGGAAGCAUUGGGCGUAAAGAGUUCGGAGGUGGCUCGUUAAGUCUGGUGUUAAAGGGGGAAGCUCAACUUCCGUAGGGCAGUGGAUACUGGCGAGCUUGAGUGCGGUAGAGGUAAAGGGAAUGCCUGGUGUAGCGGUGAAAUGCGUAGAUAUCAGGAGGAACAUCGGUGGCGAAGGCGCUUUACUGGGCCGUAAUUGACACUGAGGAACGAAAGCCGGGGGAGCAAAUGGGAUUAGAUACCCUUGUAGUC